GACGAACGCUGGCGGCGUGCUUAACACAUGCAAGUCGAACGGGAUUUAGUAAACGGAAGCCUCGGUGGAAGAUUACUAAUGAGAGUGGCGAACGGGUGAGUAACGCGUGAGCAACCUGCCUAUGACAGUGGGAUAGCCUCGGGAAACCGGGAUUAAUACCGCAUAAAAUCGUAGAAACACAUGUUUCAACGGUCAAAGAUUUAUCGGUCAUAGAUGGGCUCGCGUCUGAUUAGCUAGUUGGUGAGAUAACAGCCCACCAAGGCGACGAUCAGUAGCCGGUCUGAGAGGAUGAACGGCCACAUUGGAACUGAGACGCGGUCCAAACUCCUACGGGAGGCAGCAGUGGGGAAUAUUGCACAAUGGGGGAAACCCUGAUGCAGCGACGCCGCGUGAACGAAGAAGGUAUUCGUAUCGUAAAGUUCUGUCCUAUGGGAAGAUAAUGACAGUACCAUAGAAGAAAGCUCCGGCUAAAUACGUG
RNAcentral lists this ribosomal RNA (478 nucleotides) under uncultured bacterium. Its description in RNAcentral is "partial 16S ribosomal RNA". It matches the Rfam family "Bacterial small subunit ribosomal RNA", at positions 28 to 507 of the family's 1533-position model. The record is from RNAcentral.